ACCAGCAUGGCGUAGUGGUUUGAGUUUUGGACUACGACUCUAGAGACCAGGGUUCGAUUCCCAGCUCAGCCC
This 72-nucleotide transfer RNA is filed under the name Phrynosoma platyrhinos (Desert horned lizard). RNAcentral's name for it is "tRNA-OTHER". Lineage: Eukaryota; Metazoa; Chordata; Lepidosauria; Squamata; Phrynosomatidae. The record is from RNAcentral.